GAUGAACGCUGGCGGCGUGCCUAAUACAUGCAAGUCGAGCGAACGGACGAGAAGCUUGCUCCUCUGAUGUUAGCGGCGGACGGGUGAGUAACACGUGGAUAACCUACCUAUCAGACUGGGAUACCUUCGGGAAACCGGAGCUAAUACCGGAUAAUAUUUUGAACCGCAUUGUUCAAAAGUGAAAGACGGUCUUGCUGUCACUUAUAGAUGGAUCCGCGCUGCAUCAGCUAGUUGGUAAGGUAACGGCUUACCAAGGCAACGAUGCAUAGCCGACCUGAGAGGGUGAUCGGCCACACGGGAACUGAGACACAGCCCAGACUCCUACGGGAGGCAGCAGUAGGGAAUCUUCCGCGAUGGGCGAAAGCCUGACGGAGCAACGCCGCGUGAGUGAUGAAGGUCUUCGGAUCGGAGAACGCUGUUAUUAGGGAAGAACAUAUGUGUAAGUAACUGUGCACAUCUUGACGGUACCUAAUCAGAAAGCCACGGCUAACUACGUG
Molecule: ribosomal RNA, 497 nt
Filed under: uncultured bacterium
Lineage: Bacteria
Description: partial 16S ribosomal RNA
Rfam family: Bacterial small subunit ribosomal RNA
Source: RNAcentral